Molecule: long non-coding RNA, 25750 nt
Filed under: Lactuca sativa (garden lettuce)
Lineage: Eukaryota; Viridiplantae; Streptophyta; Magnoliopsida; Asterales; Asteraceae
Description: long non-coding RNA (LSAT_LNC007872)
Source: RNAcentral
AGUUUGCCAUGUGUAGAUCUUCAAAGGGUAAAAGUUACAUGGAGGAAUACGAUUUCACAAGGUGUUGUGAAGAUUUGUUGUGUGAGCACCGGGUGUAGGCCGGUGUUAGAAAGACAAAACAGGACGUUUAAGAUGAGCGAUCCGGCACCUGAGCACUGCCCUCCUGGGGAAUUUGUGAGGGAGAUUCUGCUUCCGACUCUGAUUCCUGAAGAUGCAAAGUUGGAAGCUUACAGGGACGAAACAGGAACUAUGCUUGAGAUAAUGGUGCCUAAGCAUCGUGUAGGACCUGAAGAACAUGAGGUUCAUGUUUGUCUUCGUUCAUCUCCAAGUGUUCUUAUGUUAACUUAAUGAAAACUGGAGUCGAUGUUUGAUGCUUCAUUGAUUUUUGCUGAUCUUUAUUUACCAAGUGGAAUCUAUGAAGUAAUGGGUUGUGUUUAUUUAUUACGUAGGUGUCUUUUUUUGUCGAUGCUUCCUUUAGUUUAUUGAACAAUUUCAAAGUGUGUUGUUAUUAUUACGGAUUGGUAGGUUUUAUUUAACUAUCAGUGUUUUAUUUUUAUUUUUUUUGUAUAUGAUAAGAUCAACGCCAAAAAAUGAAUGAGAGAUCUAUGAAGUAAUGGGUUGUGUUUAUUUAUUAUAUAGGUGUCUUUUUUUGUCGAUGUUUCCUUAAGUGUGUUAUUAUGAUUAUGGAUUGGCAGGUUUUAUUUAAGAAUCAGUGUUUUAUUUAUUUUGUAUGUGAUAAGAUCUACGCCAAAAUAAAAGAAAAAAAAAAUAAUAAUUGCUCUUUCAAAAAAAAAAAAAAAAAAAAAAAGCUGCGAUGAUUUUGCAGAGUUAAAAAUCGAAGUAAAUAAAAUUCGGGGCAUUCCGAGAAUUGAUGUGAAAAUGCUCUAUCAUCGCAUCUACCAAGUUGUAGUUUGUGGAUGGUUAGUUGUCAUCGUACUCCUUAAAUUUCAUGAAUCUCUUAGUGUUUAUUUAUUUAUUUAUUUUUGUUAAACUCGAGAACUAAGCCUUAGUGUUUAUGUGGGAAUAAAUACAUUACACAUCUCAAAUUUGAUUCAUUUAUCAUAAUUGUAUCAUAAUUUUAAAUGAUACUAGAAAUGAAAAUUGUUUUUACGAUAGGAGUCGGUUACCACAACAAGCAAAUUGAUUUAUACGUUUUUUACCUUCAUAUAACCUUUUACCUUUAACAAAUUUGGAAAAUUCAACUUAUAUAAAAUCAAAGUUUCUUACAAAUAGUUUAUCAAUUUGGAAAAUCAAAUUAUACAAAGUGAGAGUUCGGUUUUUGUUGAAACAUACAUUUGGUUUAAGAUUAAACAUAGUUUAUUAUUGGAAAAACGAAAUUCAAAUAAGCUUUUAUAGAGUACGCCAAAUACGGAGUCCGUAUGAAGAAAUUAUGCAAUUUUGAAAUUAUGAAAUUCGUCUCGCGCACGUGCGCGAUGCGCAUACAGCCAAAAACGGACACGUGUCAGCUACAGAGAGGGCCAACUAGGUUAGUGCGCGACAUGCAUCUGGUCUGGGCAUGACGCGUAUAUGACAAUUUGGCCUUAUAAAUAGUUGGUCACUCCUGAUCAUUCCUCACACCCUCCAUACAGUUCUCCCUCGAUUCGUUCUGGUUUUAACCCCAAGUUUUCCUUAGAAUUAGUAUCUCGACGAAGCUCUACAAUCCCUAACUGUCUGAAUAGUAGCAGCCAUCGAGUAGGAACUCUGCUAGUACAAUUUCCAAACUUUUGUUUAGGAAAUCUAUGUAAGUUAAAUUACACUAUAAUAUUUUAGUAUAGUUUAUAUUUAAAAUUCAUAGUCAUGGUUAUGAUUUAUAAAUAAGAUUUGUCAGUAGUUCCAAUGUCAUAUUACUAGUUGAUCUAAUUAUGGGGAUGAUGUCUAGACUAGAUUUAAUGAGGUGUUUAAAGUGAGAUUUCCAAACAGUAUAUAUUCUGUAUACCAAACAGACCAUACCUCUGAUAUGAUCCUACUUGGUUAUCUCUUAUCAGCUAUAGAUCAAUAGACAUUGAGAUUAUUGAGGAAUCUAUACUAUUAAUUAGUCAUAAGAGGUAGUAAAGUAAUAUUUAGAGAUAAUUGAACCUAUGUCAUAUCAAAGGAAAAGUCAUGUGCUGAAGCGAAGCGUUGUCCAAAUUUUCAGUCAUCCAUUUUAAAAAUUGAGUACAUAUUUACUUUCAUCUUACACAUACAUAUAAAGUAUUUUAAAACAAUUACAUGCUAUAUUUGCCUAUUAAAUAUGUUCCAGAUAUCUAUGCUAGAUGAACGAUUUAUACAUGUUUUACUUGAUUUAAACUGUAUAUGUAUUUUUAUACCUAUAAAUAUAUUGGUUAGAGAUGGAUGGAUGAAAUAUGAUAUAAAUGAUGAAAGAUGAAAGAUGAAGUAGACUAUGAAAGGCCUUGACUUUAAAGAUGAUAUAGUCGUCUAGUGGAAUAUAGAUGACGACCAUAGACUAUUCUAGAUAGUCCAGUGGAAUGCUAGCAGACUACCAACCUUGACUUUGGGUCCUAAUAUACCUUUUGAAGCUCGAUUUUUAAACCUCGUCAAUCUAUGGAUGAAAGAACAGGAAAAACUAUUUCAAAUUUCAUGAAUAUGAAUCUCAAUUUUCUGGUUAUGGUGUACUUUUUAAAACUUGAAAACCAAAUUAAAAAAAAAAAAAAAAAAAAAAAAAAAAAAAAAAAAAAAAAAACUGUUCCAACUGAAAUGUAAUUUGGUUGGAUCGGAUUGGAUUUGAAUCUAGUUUGAACUACUUGGAUCCAUGUUUUGAAAACCAAAAUCAAUUGGGAUUCACUUAACUGGAUCAAAUUGAAUUGAUCCAUCCAUACGGACAACCCUAUAUAUGACGGUCCGGGUGCAACGCCCCUAGGUACGUAGUUCCAAGCGGCAACGCCCUUAGUGGGAUCCAAGGGGCAGAUCUACAUGUAAGGGCGGUGGGUCCACCAAGGGCUCCAACCAUGCAUUUCUCGCCAAAAAUAAGUGGUGACAACACUAUAAUGUUAGAAUUGGUUAUGUUUUAUAACCAUUUGUUCAACCACCAAUUUUGGCGCCAAAUCUACAUGUAACCACCAAUAAGUACCUUUCUCUCUUUUAUAAGAACAUAUUUCAUGUUCCUGAAAAAGGGUUCCAAAAGAUAUACUCGAAAUCUGUUCAUUAAGAUUUUUCAUGUCUCUCAAAACAACACAUCAAACAAAGGUAUUAUUUGUUUCACAAUUCGAAUUAGGCAUGUAAUUUGAAUUGGUUUUGUUCUUAGAUUAUCACACUCUUGAGUUUGUGUGCCCUAGAAAAUAAGGACGGAUUACAGAUUUUGGAAAGUUUUUGGAAACACGAUCCUUGAAUCUAUCCAAGUCAUAUAUACUGUUAUUUUGAUUCCCUUAUUUUCUAACACUAGUUAUAUAUAAAAUAUAAUAGGGAAUAAUGAACCUAAAAUGAACUUAAUUUUAUACAUAGAAGUGCACACCAAUUAGGUUCUUACAACCAGUUUGAAGUAAAAUUGGGUUUGGUUUUGAAUCAGGUUGGGUUCUAAAAUGUAUGAACCAAUAUAACCAAAUUCAAACUGAUUCAAACCCAUAUUAAGAAAACUGGUUUGAAAAACCUAUUUUUUCAUCACUUUUGCCACAUUUGCUAGACUUUAUUUACGUGUUGUAGUUUAAUUAAACUUUCAUGGUUGAUCAUAAACAACAAUCAGAGGCUAUACUCUUAUAAACUACUCUUAAAUUUAUGUAUGUCACUGAAGAUACUUGAACCCUCAAACUCAAGAAGGGAGGGCAACACCUGAUACCUUUGAGCUAAAAGUUCUUUGUUGAAGAUGAGAUUGAAAAAGUAAGAUGCAUAGUUGUGUUUUUAAAUAUGGGUAAAAAAAAUUGGAUGCCAUAUUUAAUUAAACAACAUCUGGAUGCGUGAAUUUUCUUAUUUACGACUAUUUGCGCCACCAUAUCUUUGGUACUUAAUAAUAGUUUGGUACUUGGAAAGGAAGCACUGACAACACCAUAUUCGUAAAUGUAUACAGUCCUCAGACUCCAUUAGAGAAAAAAGAUACAUGACGUGAAUUACUUCAAAUCAAGCAAACAAAAAGAGGUAAAGGGCUCAUUUUUGUUGAUUUUAACGUUGUAAGGAGGAAGGAUGAGAGAUUCAUAUCUCAGUUUUGCUUAACCAACGCAUCAAAUUUUAAUCGCUUUAUAAGGCUAGCAGAGGUUCACGAAUUCAAUAUGGGUGGUGAAAGAUUCACAUUUAUGAGCAGAGUUGAUGCAAAGCUAAGCAAACUUAACCGAUUCCCAGCUUGUUCAAAUUUUUUUGGCUACUUUCCCCUCAAUAAUUGUUACGGCUUAGUUUUGGGAAUUAUCAGAUCACUUCCCAAUUACACUAAUCUCUACAGUGGAGACUUCGGACCUCCCUCAUUCAAAGAAAAAGGACGAGAUAAAGAAGUCGAGUCGGAGACAAAAUCGUACAAGAUGCUUGGGCUGGAUUUUCUGGGUAUGGCAACACUGAUUCAUACCUUGCAGCCAAAUUGCGUCACCUAAAGGAUGAGAUAAAGAAGUCGAGAAGUGACGAACACAAAAAGGAGAAACAAGAGAUAUUGGAAUUUAAAGAAAAAGUACAUAAUAUUGAAAAGGUUGCUGAAACACGGGCUCUCACCUCCAAUGAAGUAUCGUCUAGAGUAAUUGCCUUUAGAAGAUACUUAAACUUGAAAAAAUGGCAGUCAUUGACCUAAAACAGGAGGUGCAUUUGAAAUGGAAGGUAGAUGGGGAUGAAAAUUCAAAACUAUUCUAUGGAUAUGUAAACAAUAAUUACCUAUAAACAGAUUUGUAGGUCUAAUGAUAAACGGAAGAUGGCUUCAUAAGUGAAAGACAUGAAAGAUGAGGCUUUCUGGUUCUUCCAAAAAAAAUUAAGGAAGAAUGGAUUUCACAUCCAAAACUUGUAAAAUCUCAUAUCCAGUCUAUAUAUAUGAUGGAUGCUAUUAUAUUGGAGGCUCCAUUCUCUAUUGAUGAGGUGAAGAAAGCAGUAUGGGUAUGCAUAGGAGAUAAGUCCCUGAGCCAUGACGGGUUAACUUUUAAGUUCUUAAAAAAGUAUUGGAGUUGUGUCGCUGCAAAUCUCAUUAUAUUCGUAUAAUAUUUCUACGAAACUGGUACUCUAAGGCAGGGUUGUAAUUCCUUAUUUAUCAUUCUUGCACCCAAGGUUAAGGACACGACCUCUCUUUAUGACUACAUACCGAUCAUGUAACAUCCCAAAAUAACCGAGUAAAAAUUUCAUUUUAAAUAAGUUAAAGUCAUUCAUUCAUUUUUCCAAAAGACAUUCAGAGUCAAAGUAUUCUCAAAACAUUAGACUAAUUUGUAAACAUUCAUUACAGAAUAAACUCCAGGGGAUGCAGUGCCAUCAAGCCAGGCCCUUCCUUUUGAAAAUGGAAGUACCUAAAACCAUAAACAUAAAUUGUAAGCACAAAACUUAGUGAGUUCCCUAAAGUACCACAUACCAAACAUACAACUAUGGGACCUGCACUAGGGUAUACUUCAAUCCGAUAAUAUGAUACUUGUAAUGUCGAGGGCCAAAUCCCGGUCUUACAUACAAAUGCCAUGGGCCAACACCAUAGUCUUUCUGUAACACCCCGAUGUUCAGAAGAGCAAAGUUCAGGGUGCUUAGUGUAAAUAUGGAAGACCGACUCGGCGAGUCAAUGGAUAGACUCGGCGAGUCGGGUCGCGAAUCUGGUCAUGUGCUAAGUGACCAACUUGGCGAUUCGGAGGAGUGACUCGGUGAGUUGGUGCUGGGUGGAGAGAACCCUAAUUCUCGGGGUUGUGCCCUAUAUAAAGGACAUUAUAACCCACCCUCAGCCUCUUUGUUACCUUCCAAAACCCAGAGAACCCUAAAAUCGUGUAUAACCUCCAUUGUUGAAGAAUUAGAGCUUGGGAAGAGAAAUUGAGAAGAAAAAGGUUGAAGAUCAAGAGGCUAGCAUCUGGAUAUCAUUGUAGAUCAGGGAUCUACUCCUCCUUUGGAUCAUUUCUGAGGUAGCAAUCUGUUACCUUGAGUGUAACACCGAAAAUUUUAAAAUUUAUUUUUCACAAUUUAUAAAAACAUUUCUCUUUUAAUUUCAUAAAUCAUCAAAUUUCAAAUUCCAAUAUGUAUCAUACAAAUCCCAAGAUCACAUAAUUAUAUUGAAUUCCUCUACGUGUGUACAGAUCAAGCCGGCGCCUUCCCACGGUCAUCGCUAGUACCUGAAACAACAACACUAACACUGUAAGCACAAAGCUUAGUGAGUUCCCCAAAAUACCGCACAUAAAACACAUAUCAGCCACUCGAGGCCAUAACUCUAUGGGUCCGUGCACCCACACUCUGUGAACCCCAGGUUCUAACUCUAGGAACCUUCCGGUUCCAACUCUAUAAGCAUGCACAACAUAAAUCACAUAGACAUCAUGCAGUACAACACAUAGCAUACACAUAACAUACACAUACUCUAUCACAUGACUCUGGUUACCUACUCAAGGUAAAGUAUAGUGAGAAGACUCACCUCGCGUGUCUCGGUAUCUCACGAUCCCUGGAAAUCCCUCGUACUCGAUCCUCCGAGCUCUAAUCCUCCUAUAACAUCACAAGACUCUAAUUAACACUUUUAUCUCUAAGGUUGACUAUCCCUAAGAAGUCAACACAGGUCAACGGUCAACGGUCAACUUUGACCGGACUCGGCGAGUGCACGCGGCAACUCGGCGAGUCUAGACGUUCUCACCAACUCUCUAGGAUUCCCUUUCUACACGUCGAGUACUCCCCCUGACUCGACGAGUUCCACCUGGAAGAAUCGCGGGACCACCCCGACUCAACUCGCCGAGUCUCAAGAACGACUCGGCGAGUCCCAGCUCGACUCAGACCACAUGACAAUCCUCUCUAACUCGCCCUGACUCACUGGGUCAACUCCUGACUCGUCUGGACCACUCACUGGCCGGUCCAAGGCAAUCUUCAAGCUACUCGCCGAGUCUGCUCAUCGGACUCGGCGAGUCCAUUCCAUGCAAUCACUCAAACUUGCUUCUAAGGUCAGAUCUACUCCAACAAUUCAUAGAUCUGGCCCUCCUAGACUGAUUCAUCACGUAAAGUCCUAGUCUUGAUGCAUUAACAACCUCUAUAUGACUAAUUAUGAAGAAUCUUCAACAAAUCUCACUACACAAGGUCAUGACCUCCAUUGUUCUCUAUAAAGCUUGAAGAAUGAGACUCUCUGGACCUCUAUGGAUCCAGAUCCGAAGUCUCAUCACUAGCAUGGGACUAUUUGGCCAUCAAAUCAACUCAACAAGGCCACAAGAAACCCUAAAAUCGGUUAUACUUCACAAAACAGGAGAUGAGUCGAAAUUAUACCUUUAGAUUGAAGGGUCAAGCUUCCAAUCCACCAAAUAGCAGUCCCCUUUGCCUCCUCUUGGCUAGAGCCUCCUUCUUCUUUGCUAAACAACACACAAAUGUCAAGAAAUGCCUCCUUUCACUCUCAAAUCGCUAAAGCACUUUUAGGGUUUCUCUCUAUGGACUGAUGGAUGCAAAUGACGGCCAUAAGGCCAUUUAAAUAGGUCCCAAACCCGAGAAAUUAGGGUUUCAUUAAACAGCGUGGACUCGCCGAGUCCAUAUCCUGGACUCGCCGAGUCCGAACGAAUCCCGCGUCCAGAAUCGCGACCCUACUCGGCGAGUCUGAGCUCCAACUCGCCGAGUCCCUUCUCAAAACUCAAAAUAUUAAAACAAUAAAAUACCUGGAGAUCCGGGCUGUUACAAUUCUCCCCCACUAGGAUUAGACUUCGCCCUCGAAGUCUCGCUCUAAAAUAGCUCCGGAUGCUGAGCCCGCAUCUCGCGCUCCGGCUCCCAGGUCAUCUCUGAUCCCUUCCGGUGUUGCCACUGAACCAACACCAAAGGUACCUCCUUGUUCCUCAGAACCUUGAUCUUCCGAUCUCUGAUGGCUACUGGUCUCUCGGCGUAAUUCAGGCUCGCAUCUACCUGAAUAUCCUCUAAUGGAACUACUGCCGACUCAUCGGCAAUACAUUUCCUCAAUUGCGACACAUGAAAAGUGUCGUGGAUUUGCCCCAACUCUGCUGGCAAUUCCAAACGAUAGGCUACCCGGCCUACCCUCGCAAUCACGCGAAAUGGCCCAAUAUACCGGGGCCCCAACUUGCCCCUCUUCCUGAAUCGAAUCACCCCUUUCCAAGGAGAGACCUUCAGGAGAACGAAGUCACCGACCUGAAACUCAAGCUCGGACCGGCGUCUGUCUGCAUAACUCUUCUGUCGACUCUGGGCGGUCAACAACCUCUGUCUGACCUGCUGAAUCUGCUCUGUCGUCUGAAGCACGAUCUCGGUACUGCCCAUCACUCUCUGCCCGACCUCUCCCCAGCAAAUGGGGGUCCGACACCUCCUACCAUACAACAGCUCAAAGGGUGGCAUACCAAUGCUCGAAUGAUGGCUGUUGUUGUAGGAAAACUCUGCCAAGGGUAGAUACGCAUCCCAGCUACCCCCAAAAUCCAACACACAUGCUCGAAGCAUGUCCUCAAGCGUCUGAAUCGUCCGCUCACUCUGACCGUCUGUCUGGGGAUGAUAUGCGGUACUAAAAUGCAAUCUAGUACCCAACUCCUCAUGAAAUUUCUUCCAGAAUCUGGAAGUAAAGCGCACAUCACGGUCUGAAACAAUCGAGAUCGGCACCCCAUGCCGAGAUACCACUUCUCUCACAUAUAACUCUGCCAACUUCUCUGCUGAAGAACUCUCACUGAUGGCAAGGAAGUGAGCGCUCUUCGUCAACCUAUCCACAAUCACCCAAAUUGCAUCAACUCCCCUGGCAGUUCUCGGCAAUUUGGUGAUGAAAUCCAUAGUGAUCUGUUCCCAUUUCCAUUCGGGAACCUCCAAUGGCUGCAACUUGCCAUGCGGUCUCUGGUGCUCGGCCUUAACCCUACGGCAGGUCAAGCACCUCUCAACGAACCACGCGACGUCCCUCUUCAUACAGGGCCACCAAUACUCUCUCCUCAAAUCCAAAUACAUCUUCGUAGCCCCCGGAUGGAUCGAAAAUUUCGACCGAUGAGCCUCCUCCAUCAAGGAAGUGCGCGUACCACCCACGAACGGUACCCAAAUCCGACCCUGAAAAGUCAUAAGCCCUCGCCCAUCCGUAACGAAUUCUGAAACCAAACCAACGACCCGUUCCCUCUUCUGCAUCUCCGGCUGCACAGCCUCGGCCUGUGCCCCACGAAUGGCAUCCAAUACCGGAGCUAUCAUGGUCAAUCUCAAACAUACAUCUCGCAAUGGAGUGCUCUCCGCCCUGCGGCUCAACGCAUCGGCCACCACGUUGGCCUUGCCCGGGUGGUACAGGAUCUCACAAUCAUAAUCCUUGACCACAUCUAACCACCUCCUCUGACGCAUGUUUAGAUUGGGCUGAUCCAUCAAGUACUUCAAGCUCUUAUGGUCCGUGUAUAUCGUACAUCGAACCCCAUAUAAGUAGUGGCGCCAAAUCUUGAGGGCGAACACUACUGCCCCCAACUCUAGAUCAUGCGUGGGAUAUCUUGUCUCAUGAGGCUUCAGCUGCCUCGAUGCAUAUGCUAUCACAUGACCCCUCUGCAUCAACACCGCACCCAACCCCAAAAUCGAUGCAUCACAAUAUACUACAAAAUCCUCCAUCCCUUCCGGGAGAGCUAAUACCGGGGCUUCGCACAACCUCUGGCGAAGUGUCUCAAAGGAGGUCUGCUGCUCGGGACCCCAUGAGAAUGCAACACCCUUCCGGGUCAACCUGGUGAGCGGCACUGCGAUCUUGGAGAAAUCCUUGAUAAAUCUCCGAUAAUACCCUGCUAAUCCAAGGAAGCUCCUGAUCUCAGAGGGUGACUUUGGCACCUCCCAACCCAUCACCGCCUCAACCUUGGCCGGAUCGACCAGAAUCCCUUCCUGGUUAACGAGAUGUCCUAGGAACUGGACCUCCCGUAACCAGAAAUCACACUUGGAGAACUUUGCAUAAAGCUUCUCCGAUCUCAGUACCCCAAGGACCUCCCUCAAAUGUUCCUCAUGCUGCUCCCUAGAUCUCGAAUACACCAGAAUAUCAUCGAUAAAUACAAUCACCGACCGAUCCAACAUCGGCCUACAUACCCUGUUCAUGAGAUCCAUGAACACCGCCGGGGCAUUGGUGAGCCCAAAAGGCAUCACCACAAACUCAUAAUGCCCAUAACGCGUCCUGAAAGCUGUCUUCUGGACGUCCUCAUCUCGCACCCUCACCUGAUGAUAUCCCGACCUCAAAUCGAUCUUGGAAAACCAAGAUGCUCCCUGCAACUGAUCAAAUAAAUCGUCGAUCCUCGGCAACGGGUAACGGUUCUUGACCGUCAGCUUGUUCAACUCCCGGUAAUCAAUACACAUCCGGUGUGAACCAUCCUUCUUCUUGACAAACAGAAUAGGUGCUCCCCACGGCGAGCUGCUCGGCCGAAUAAAUCCCUUCCCCAGCAACUCCUGAAGCUGCGAGGAUAACUCUUGCAUCUCUGGAGGUGCAAGACGAUAAGGCACCUUAGCUAUAGGCGCAGCCCCCGGAACCAAAUCAAUACCAAACUCUACUUGCCUCACAGGAGGUACUCCCGGCAGCUCCUCGGGAAAGACAUCUGGAAACUCACAUACCACCGGUACCUCCCCAACUGAACUCGGUCUCUCGGAAGUCGCUCGCGUAUCCAUCACAUACGCCACAAAACCCUUACAGCCCUGCUGCAGACACUGUCUCGCCCUGGCGGCCGAACAAAAGGCUGAUCCCGAACGGGUACCCUCACCGUACACCGAAAGAACUCCCCCACUAGGGUCUCGUAUAGUCACCAGCUGACGCUCACAGUCGAUAAUCGCGCCGAAUCGGCUCAACCAGUCCAUGCCCACAAUGACACAAACAUCACCCAUCGCAAUAGGAAUCAGAUCAAUCGGAAACUCAAUCCCGAAGAUCUCUAACACACAUCCCCGGAAAACCUCUGCGGCACAAAUCACUCUAUCAUCAGCUAUGGAGACUCUCAGAGGCCGACUCAGUGCCUCACGACUAGCACUGAUAUGCUGGCUAAAGGCCAAAGAUACAAAAGACCGACUCGCACCCGAGUCAAAUAACACUAAAGCAGGUACGGAAUUCACAAGAAAAGUACCUACACAUAACAUAAUAUAAGCAUAACAUCAUAUAUCAAAAUAAAUACACGAAAGGAAACAUACCAGCCACCACAUCGGGCGCGGCGCGGACCUCCUCCGCAGUCAACUGGAAAGCUCUCCCUCGAGCUCUCGGCGUCUCGGCCUUCACAGGCCGACUCUCUGUAACUCUGGUGGCGGCAGGAGCAGACCCCUGAGAUGCUCCGCGCAACUGCGGACACUCGGCCUUCCGGUGUCCGGUCUGGUUGCAGUGAAAGCACACUGCAAACCCCUUGGGGCAGUCCUUGGCCAUGUGCCCCUCCUUGCCACAUUUGUAGCAAGACCCUGCUCGGCAGACUCCGUCAUGACCCUUGCCGCACUUUCCGCAAGUGCGGCCCUUCUGGCUCCCUGGUCUGGGAUCAGCAGGCUUGGCCCGCUUGGCGGCCGGCUGCGACAACGCCGGUCGCCGAUCCCUCCCCUGAGACUCUGCCUCCUCCCUGGCCUGGGUCUCAAGCUCAAUCUCCCUCUUCCGGGCAUUUGCCUGAAGCUCGGCAAAUGUCCGGUACGAGGAGUUCGCAGCGAACUCCCGAAUAUCCCUCCUCAAGAUGCUCAAGUAGCGGCUCAUACGUGCCUGCUCAGUGGACACGUGCUCAGGGCAGAACAUCGCCCUCUCGUGGAACAUCCUCGUGAUCGCUGUAACAGACUCAGUACCCUGCUUGAGGGUCAGAAACUCCUGUGCUAAACGCUCCCUCUCCACCUGGGGAACGUACUCAUCCCGAAACAUAGUGGUGAACCUCUCCCAGGUCACCGCAGAAAGCUCAGCAGGCGAAUAAUGCGCUGUCACAAACUUCCACCAGUCCUUCGCUCCCAAGCGAAGCUGGUUCAGCGCGAACCGUACCUUCAAAUGCUCAGGAGACGAGCAAGUGAAGAAACACCCCUCAAUAUCAGAUAUCCACCUCAUAGCUGCCACCGGAUCCUGAGUACCAUCAAACUCUGGUGGUUUUGUGUUGCUGAACUCACGGAACAGCAACGCAUCCCCACCCUGCGGCCUCGCAGCAGCAAUCGCUGCGGUAGCUGCUGCAGCAGCAGCCUCAGAAAGAGCGGCAUAACGCUCAUCAAACGUCUCAAUCAAGGUGGUCUUUAUAGACCCAAACAUCUCCGGUAUCUCUGCCCUGAUGGCCGCAGCCACCUCCUCCUGAAUGAUCCGGCGGAUCUCCUCCUCACUGGUACCACUGCUCUCGGGCAUCAAACGUGUCCUCACCAUGAUCUACCUCUGAAAUACAACAUACGAUAAAUUAGAAUCCACACGAGUAUGCUCACACUCGACAACUCUUUUCUCCUUGAUUCUUGGCAUUCCAAAGAUUCUGACUUGGGCUGCACACCGCUCCGGUGCUUCCAGUAGUACGGGCCCAAUACUACUGUCCGCACCGCACCAGAAUACACUCCAAGUCCUUCUCUUUGGAUCCCAGGUCUCAAGUACUUUAUCAUGCAUAGACUACUCUCUAAUAGAUCUCUCAUAAGUCCCUUGCUGCUACCUACUCACUCUCAAGCAUCUCAUAGCAGCUCACCUCUCCCUAGGCUAAGGCAUCACACAUCAGGCCACUCUAGUCCUAAUAGCAAUACCUAGCCUACUCUAGCAUGCGGAUACAUCAUAUCAAUAUCAAUAUCACAUAAUAUAUAAAGGUAUUUUGGGAAAUCACCGUUCGGGCGCUGACUGAUCGUACACACAUCUCUUGCUCUGCGUUUUUCGAAAAUCUUUUACUCUUUUUGAAAAUACAUCUCAAAUCCUCAGUUUGAGUUCAAAUACGCCCGAAGGUGUACUCGAAUCCCUCAAACCAAGGCUCUGAUACCAACUUGUAACACCGAAAAUUUUAAAAUUUAUUUUUCACAAUUUAUAAAAACAUUUCUCUUUUAAUUUCAUAAAACAUCAAGUUUCAAAUUCCAAUAUGUAUCAUACAAAUCCCAAGAUCACAUAAUUAUAUCGAAUUCCUCUACGUGUGUACAGAUCAAGCCGGCGCCUUCCCACGGUCAUCGCUAGUACCUGAAACAACAACACUAACACUGUAAGCACAAAGCUUAGUGAGUUCCCCAAAAUACCACACAUAAAACACAUAUUAGCCACUCGAGGCCAUAACUCUAUGGGUCCGUGCACCCAACUCUGUGAACCCUCAGGUUCUAACUCUAUGAACCUUCCGGUUCCAACUCUAUAAACAUGCACAGCAUAGAUCACAUAGAAAUAAUGCAGUACAACACAUAACAUGCACAUAACAUACAUACACUAACACAUAACUCUGAUUACCGACUCAAGGUAAAGUAUAGUGAGAAGACUCACCUCGCGUGUCUCGGUAUCUCACGAUCCCUGGAAAUCCCUCGUGCUCGAUCCUCCGAGCUCUAAUCCUCCUAUAACAUCACAAGACUCUAAUUAACACUUUUAUCUCUGAGGUUGACUAUCCCUAGGAAGUCAACACAGGUCAACGGUCAACGGUCAACUUUGACCGGACUCGGCGAGUGCACACGGCAACUCGGCGAGUCUAGACGUUCUCAUCAACUCUCUAGGAUUCCCUUUCUACACGUCGAGUACUCCCCCCUGACUCGACGAGUUCCACCUGGAAGAAUCGCGGGACCACCCCGACUCAACUCGCCGAGUCUCAAGAACGACUCGGCGAGUCCCAGCUCGACUCAGACCACAUGACAAUCCUCUCUAACUCGCCCUGACUCACUGGGUCAACUCCUGACUCGUCUGGACCACUCACUGGCCGGUCCAAGGCAAUCUUCAAGCUACUCGCCGAGUCUGCUCAUCGGACUCGGCGAGUCCAUUCCAUGCAAUCACCCAAACUUGCUUCUAAGGUCAGAUCUACUCCAACAAUUCAUAGAUCUGGCCCUCCUAGACUGAUUCAUCACGUAAAGUUCUAGUCUUGAUGCAUGAACAACCUCUAUAUGACUAAUUAUGAAGAAUCUUCAACAAAUCUCACUACACAAGGUCAUGGACUCCAUUGUUCUCUAUAAAGCUUGAAGAAUGAGGCUCUCUGGACCUCUAUGGAUCCAGAUCCGAAGUCUCAUCACUAGCAUGGGACUAUUUGGCCAUCAAAUCAACUCAACAAGGCCACAAGAAACCCUAGAAUCGAUUAUACUUCUCAAAACAGGAGAUGGGUCGAAAUUAUACCUUUAGAUUGAAGGGUCAAGCUUCCAAUCCACCAAAUAGCAGUCCCCUUUGCCUCCUCUUGUCUAGAGCCUCCUUCUUCUUUGCUAAACAACACACAAAUGUCAAGAAAUGCCUUCUUUCACUCUCAAAUCGCUAAAACACCUUUAGGGUAUCUCUCUAUGGACUGAUGGAUGCAAUGACGGCCAUAAGGCCAUUUAAAUAGGUCCCAAACCCGAGAAAUUAGGGUUUCAUUAAACAGCGUGGACUCGCCGAGUCCAUAUCCUGGACUCGCCGAGUCCGAACGAAUCCCGUGUCCAGAAUCGCGACCCUACUCGGCGAGUCUGAGCUCCAACUCGCCGAGUCCCUUCUCAAAACUCAAAAUAUUAAAACAAUAAAAUACCUGGAGAUCCNCUUGAGUUUCCUUCUUCUAGAUUCAUUCUUGGUUGCUAUUUUGGGGAUUAUGGCUUGGGUGGAAUCAAUUUCGAGUUUAGAAGCUAGAUCUAAAGUUGAAACUUCAGAUCCAAACUUGUAAUGAUCCUAUUUGUUGUAAAGGUGCUGUCCUAGAGUGGUUGGUGAAGUCCCUUUGCCUUAAGCCUUAGCCCUAGAGUAUUUUGGGCUUAUUUACCCAUGGUUUCACGUAAAGUUUGCACCUUUACGUGUGGGGAAGGUUGUAGGAGGUUGGAUCUAUGGAUUGGAGUCACUGCAUGGCUUGAAAGCCACUGUAUGGGUUAAGAACUAGAGGUACUCGGCGAGUCACAUGGGUGUACUCGGCGAGUUGGAUGAAGAAAGGCAGGAACUCGACGAGUUGGAAGAACAACUCGGCAAGUCUGUUGAAGAUUGCCUUGGACUCGGCGAGUCUGUUCUUGGACUCGGCGAGUCUAGUCACGAAGUCCUAACCGUUUUGGUUGAUCUGUGAACCGGUGAGUCGAGGGACGAAUCGAUGAGUUGAGCAGGAGGUGACUUAGAGUUCGUGGGACUCAGCGAGUCUUGGGGCGACUCGGCGAGUUGGGUCGCGAUAUGGGAGUUUUCAGAGAAUAGGGACUCGACGAGUCAACGGGCUGACUCGGCGAGUAGAAUCAGUCAGGCAGGUUAACUUUGACUGAGGACUUUGUCUUUGACCAAGAGUUGACCAGUUGACUUCCAGGGGUAAGUUGGUAAUUAUUGGUAUUUAUUGAGUUCAGUCUUUUGGUAUUAUCAGUGGUGGAGUUCGUGUCGGAGGUUGGAGCAUCGUGAUCUUAUCUUUUCAGUCAGCAGUGGCGAGGUGAGUUAUCCUCACUAUAUCGACAGGGUCUAAGGCACCAAGGCCGACCCUUUAACGGAUUGUAAUUCGGGUAUUGUUGUUAUGUUAUUGCUUUGCUAUGUUUGCAUCCUGGUAGUUAGGAUGGUGUAUGUUAGAAACCUGGUUAAGGUCGGUAUCCUGGUAUAUAGGAUGAUGCUAUGCUAGAGACCGGUUAGGUCGGUAUCCUGGUUAGGAUGAUGUUAUGUUAUGUGAUCUGCUAGAUCGGUUUGAUUGGAUGUGGAUUGUUAUAUGAUUAUAUGUUAUGUGCACAUGGUUGUCAGAUUGGGGUUGGGUUGAGGCGGGUCCUGCUUUGUGCUGUAGGCCAACAUACCCAAGGCGGACCGGUUAACCCGAAGGCCCAACGAGCGGUCCGGAUAGGCUGUAGGCCCCAAGAGGGCGGACCAGACGUGCUGAGGCUCGGGGAGUGGACCGGUGCGACUGAAGGCCCGGUGCGGGCGGACAAGUCAUACUAUAGACUCAGAGAGUGGACCAGGUGGAUUGAAGGCCCGAUGCGGGCGGACCAAUCACACUGUAGACUCGAUAUAUAUGGUUAGACUCGGAGGGUGGACCAGGUGGACUGAAGGCCCGGUACGACGGACCAGUCACACAGUAGACCCGAAGUGCAUGGUUGUUCUGUUCUGUUAUGAUAUGUUAUGUGUAUGGUUUAUGUGGUUGGUAUUUUGGGGGUAUCUCACUAAGCUUUCGGGCUUAUAGUUGUGGUUUAAUGUUUUUCAGGUACUUCAGGAGACCAUGGCAAGGCGAAGGCGUGAUCGUACCGCUCCUCAUGUUCUUGUUUUAUGAUAUGGUUCUGGGAAUACUCUGAUAAUAAAUGUAUUGAAAACCUUUUUGUAAUGACUUAACGAAACUGGUUGUUUUUGAAAAGUUUAAAUUGGCUUGAAUUUUUAGAGUGUUACACUUUCAUUGUAAUGUCGAGGGCUAAAUCCUGGUUUUACAUUCAAAUGUCAUUGGCCACCCCAUGGUCUUUCCUUACAAUGUCGAUGGCCAAAUCCGGUCUUACAUACAAGAGCCAUGAGCUACCCCCCCUUUUCACCUAUGGUCUUUCAAAUUAUUACCAUGGACUACCCCCAAUGUCUUUCACGCAAGUAUCAUAAAGAUAAAUAGAAUCCUACAAUACAAAUACUAGUGGGUUGACAUUCGCGCCUUCGACCCACGAGUAUAGUGAGAAGAUUCACCUGAACUAGUCAACAGAAGCCCAUCAGCUACCUCAACAUCAGAACAACCAACCCGAACUUCCUAAAACCAAACCGAGACCAAUCCUUAGUCAAAUACUCUAUUCUACCCAAGUUUGACUAACGUCAAAUUGGUCAAAAAAAUCAACGAUCAAUUUCCACAAGGUCAACGGUCAACUUAUUUAACGUCAACGUCACGUCGUGACCAUUCCUUGAUCACGUCGUGAGAAUGCAACGAUAAACAAUCAUGAUUCUGGACACCGUUACAUUAUCACACAACCUAUGUUACGUCGUGACUUCUGGUUAAAAUGUCAAAAAUCUUCAUUAAGUGGUUAAUCACUUCAAACCAAGGUCCAUAACCUCAAAUCUAAUUCAUAAAUAGCUUCAGAAUGGAUAAAGUUUCCAACUUUAUCCAUUAGGAUGGUUCAAACAACCAAGAUCUAAUCUUUAAGUGUCAAAGGGACCAAGAAUGCAUCUUUCUCAGCUAAAUCCAGUAAGUCCAAAUCUCCAACGUUCAGAUAUAAAUCAACAUAAUGUUUAUAUGGAUAAGUUUCCAACAUUAUCCAUAAUAAUGUCUCAAGCUUCCAAGAUCUAAACUUCAAUACACCAAAAUGGCCUAAAUGACCAAAAUAUGGCUAAAAGGGAAGGCAAAAUGUCAAAACUUUCCUGGUCUAUGAGGUCCAAGAAAACAUUCUAAACUUGAUCAAAAGGUGUUGGAGUCUAGAUCUGAAACAUACAAUGUUCUUGGGGCCUUGGAGAGUAAUAAAGUUGCAAACUUUAUUCCCAACUCUCACUUAAAACUUAUUGAAUUGGACCAAAACACCAAAUAAACUAAGAUCCAAAUAUGAAAUGUAAUCAAGCUUGUAACUUUAUAACUUACAAAGGUCUAAAAGGUAGAUGAAAGUUUAGAUCUUCAAUUGCCAAGCUUCAAGGAUCAAUCUUGCAUGAAAACAUUGCUCUAAAACCAUCAAAAACUCCAAAAAUGGAUGAAAGAGGAGAGGGGAGGUUCAAAUCUUGAAAUGAAGGCUAUGGUUUCUCCUAAGAGGUUUUAAAUAUGAUGGAGGCUAAUAAAAUACCCUAAAACAUGUAUCCUUACCUUUAAAUACCUUGAAAACCCUAAAAAUUCUAUGGGCUUUUGGGCUGCACAGUUCUUAUAUCGUGAAAAUACAUUCUCACCUCAUGAGCACUUCUUACGUCGUGAGAAUUACUUCUCACCUUGUGAGAAUGAGUUUUCGCCCAAUUUCACUCCAACUUCAAACAAUCAUAACUUCUUCGUUUCAACUCUGUUUUUGGCGAUCUUUAUAUCCACAUAAAGGUAUUAACGAGCCACACACUUCUAUCUACUUAAUUUUGGUUUAGNACACAUAUAUAUAUAUAUAUAUAUAUAUAUAUAUAUAUAUAUAUAUAUAGAGAGAGAGAGAGAGAGAGAGUUAAUUUUGGCUUAACACAAGUCAAAUUAAAAACCAUAAUUCAUGAAAGAAGUCUAAAACAUCACUUGUCCCAUUUUACCCUUUGACUCCAAGACACAAAACAAUGCUUUAAUCACUUAUCAAACAUUGUCAUCGUCUAAUAAGGUCUAAACUGAUGGGUUUUGAGCAAAACAUACAAUCCUAUGUGAAACAUCCCAAAAAUCAAGGUUAAAAAAUUUUAUUUUUUUAUUAUAUUCAAAACAGUUUUGUAACUUGUUAAAAACAUUGGAAAGAAUUUCAAAUAAAGCAAUUAUUAGAGUUCAAUCCCAAAGAUCACAUUUUGCGGAAACCACGGGUGUAUGCGUUGCAAUCGUCCCGAGCUCUUCAUUUGAAAACUGGAGUACUUGAAGCAUAAACUGAAAACCAUAAGCACAAAGCUUAGUGAGUUCCCCAAAUACCACAUACCAUACAAUAAACAUAUAGGGGGCCCGCCCGUCAUCAAACCCCGUCCGACAUCGAGCCCCACCUGGAUACUACCGAGCAUAUCUGGGUGAUGGCCUCCUCUUCGGUCUAUUUCAAUUGGAUACUGCUAAGCAUAUCUGGUUGUUGGCCUCCCUUUCGGUCUAUUUCAAUGGAAUACUGGUGUAUUUCACCCCCUCCCACUACCACAUAAUAACAUACAUAAUUAAUCAUAGAAACACCAACAAAUAGUGGCAAACCAGACAAUUAUCACAAAGACAAUCAUCUUACUAUAAGCAUCAACUAGUGGGCCAGUAUUGGUGCCUUCAACCCCCUAAUUCUGUGAAGGGAGACUCACCUUAAAUGCAUAAGCUUCCUGAAGGAAUUCCCCAGCUGCUUCCCUAACGACACCUCCGAACUAACAUAUCAAAAAUAACACCCAAUUAGCAAUUGGGUUCCUAUUCAUAACCAUAACUUCAUACCUAGGGUAAAAACACCAUUUUACCCCUAUCCUAGCCUUGUCCAAAAAUAUGAUCCAAACUACAAUCUGAAAGGCCCAAAGGCCCACUGAUCAACCAUUGUCCCAAUUUUCCAAAUUGGCCCCAAACCCCAUACAUCGCCUUGCCUUAAGGCCCAACCAUUCUUUCUAUUCCAAACACUUUGCAUCCCAAUAGCCCAAAAUAACUCAAGCCCAACAUGCUAGAAACUACUAGGUCCAUAAAAGCCCACUAAUGGCCCAAUUUUCCAAAUUGGGCCCAACCCCACAUGGGCCUUAUCCUAUGCCCAUAAUUUCCUUAAACACAAUUCAAAUUACCUCAAACACCUCUUGGGACAACUUGGUCAAAGGCAUAAGUCAAAAGUCAAAGUCAACGCUCCGAGUUGACUCAACUCGUCGAGUUGUCCCUCAACUUGCCGAGUUCCCCACAUUAUUCAACAGAAUCGUGAAAAGUCAAUCCAACUCGCCGAGUUCACCCAUGAACUCGCCGAGUUCUUCAGUCAGUAAAACCUCUUAAUCCAUUAAGCCGCCGUUCUUGAAACUAAAGGCUCCACCAUUCAGAUCUCAACCGAAAUAGUAUCUAGAAGGGUAAAGUUUCCAACUUUACCCAUGAGAACCAUCAAAAUGGGUUCAAAACCCAAACCAUAAGCUUAAAAGGUUAAGGGCUUAGACAAUAACCACUUAAUCAUCAAGACAAGGCUUCAAAAUGCAGAUCUGGUCCCUUAAGACUGAAAUGACACGCAAAGUCUCCAACUAUACUCUCAUGCAUGGCCAAGAGAAGCUCAACAGCUUAAAAGAAGCCAUGAAAAGAACUUAAUGGAUGCAUAGAGACCUUAAGACCAUAAAGUUGGCACCUUUAUGCCAAAAGAGCUUAUUAAGAUCAUGGAUCCGAAAGAAUAACUCUUUUGGGACAUCCUAUACCCCAUCAAUCACUCAAACUUGGCUAAAACAUGCAAACUAUCCCCAAAAAGAGAUCUAAAUGAUUACUAAGCAAGGCCAUAGCUUUAUACCCGAAAUAUGCUGGAAAAGGAGCAAAGAGUCCAGAUCUGAAAGAUCCUACUUGAAACCUUGCACCAAACUCCUCUUCCUUCAAUGAGCUUUAAACACACCAACAUACACUCACAAUACUCAAUAAGCCUCUAGGGUCUCGAGAUUAAGGUUAGGGAGUUUGGAGGCUGGAAAUGAGUUCAACACCUGGAACUUAAGGUUUUUAAAUAGGUUGGAAAAACCCAAAAUUAGGGUUUCUCCAACAGCGUCCAAGUCGUCGAGUUGGCUCCUCUAACUCGCCGAGUUGCCUCAUUAAACCUCGCGACCAAAACAACUUCUACUCACCGAGUUGAGGCUCCUCAACUCGUUGAGUAAACCCAUUAAAUCCCCACGAUUCUUCAUCUUCAAAUCGUCAAGUUGGCUCCUCCAACUCUCCGAGUUCAACUUGAAAAUUGGCAAAAUUCCACAAUUUAACCUUCUAGAUCCGGGUGUUACAACUCUCCCCCACUCAAAUUAGAUUUCGUCCUUGAAAUCGCUCCUUAUCAACACGCAUAUCAAAACAACCAACCUGAUGAUCAUAACUGGAAAUUUUGCGCCCAAAUUAAUCUUCCCAAGGCAACCGAAACGCAAACCAAAACUUCCGACCCUAAAACAGCAUUCAAACCUUCAGCCCCUACAAACCACUUCUACCUUUCUAAGUCCUGAAAUCUAUAAUGGUCUGACUCCCAGACAGACCGCCCACAGUGAAACAACUCCAUGCUAAACUCUCAACGAAUAGCAGGCCAAACCUAACAUUUCCAACUUUAUUCGUACAACGGCUUAUCCAAAUCUACUGAAACCAUCUUAAAAUAGUUCUUCAAGCCUGAUGAAAAAUGAAUCCUCAAUCUUUGAAUAAAACCAAUCCUACCUCGCCUGAAUUCCGAAACCUAAAGUCUCAAUGGUCUGAAUCCCUGUCAGAUCUCUCACACCGAACCGAUACCAUGCCAACCUCAUAGAGAUUCAAAACAACAAAAGCUUCCAAGGAAACAAGCUCACCGACCAUAUAUAGCUAUAGAACACUUGUACUCAACAGAAGGCUCGGAUAAUCCUUUGAGUAGAAGAUCCAUCCCUGCAACGGUUAGACUCAGACGAGAGUUGCGCAACAGGGCCGAAUCAAUUACUAUGAGAUUAUUUAAUCCUAAUGUAAGUGACUUACACUUCCCAAUCAACCAGAUACAUUUCCACACAUGGAAUCCCAAAUCAUUAGCAUUGCCCGAAACACUGGUCUACCAGAGACACUGAUAUUGCCUUUCAAAAUCCACCGAGACCUCCCUGGUCCCAACUCAUCUGCCAAUUGUCUGAAAUUAUCGGGUUCUUGCCCGAUUGUUGAGCCAAGAGACUCCUGCACCGUCGCCCAUCGUGACUUCCGAAGGAAAGCCUCACUUGCAAUAACUACCCAAACCAUCCCGACAUCAACCUGAUGUUAAUCUGAAUGCUACAGGUCCAACUGUAAUCUUACUUCAUACCUAAUCUUCCAUGUCGUACCACUUCCUGGUUUCAUACAUGUUGUAGUCUUCUCAUAGCCUUACUAAUUGACCCAUCUUGAGCUAACUACCGAAGAAAUCUUUGACCAAUCAAAUAAUGAAACCUAUCAGAAAAUAUGGAACCCCUUACUAGCCUGACCCUACACAUAUCAGGCCACACUCAAGCACAGGAUCCUUACCUGCCAAUAAAUUGAAACCAUUUAUUACCUCUGAACCCUUCCAUAGAUGCCAUCGGCACAUUGAUACCUUAUUCUAAGACUUCCAGAACAUAAAACCUUACACGUAGACACCCGCAAUUCCCAAUUUGAAUUCUCAGUAGGAACCAAUUUGGUACCCAUCUCAUAAUCCGAGAAUCAAAUAUCUACACUUGAGGUUCUCUCAAAAUCCUAUGAUUCAAGACACCUCUCCCAAGAUCAGAAGGUAAAAGGUUCCCAACCCAUCGCUGAGACUACCAGCCUCGCACCUGAUCCAACCACUAGUUCCUCAAGAGUCCAAAUAACAAGGCUACCCAGCCUAUAAACCCUUCUACGCCACAUACUGACCACACACUAAAUCCUGCAACUCAAUAUUCAAAACCUUGACCUAACGGUCUCUACCAAAUCCAACAUACAUUGCCAUAAUUACAUGUGCCUUGCCCACGGGGAUACAAAACCCAUCCUAGUUUCAUAUCCGUUCCUGCGCCUGAAUACCUGAAUGAUUCUCCCCCACUUUGAUUCGACUAAGUCCUCGCAUCAUCCUAGAAUUGAAGGAUUCCCAAUCCAUCUUAACCUCCAAUGAUCGAUCUACCAACAACUGGCGCCUACCACAACUAGAGAUCCAACGUUAUCCAUCCUAAGUACCACACAACCCCAGAAGACCAACUGAACACUUCCCCAAUCCCAACAAUACUGAUAACCUUGAAUACUAUAAAAUGAUACCACGCUCAAAUCCUAACGUCAACUGUAGUCCUGUCUCAUCGCGGGGUUACUCUCGACACUUGUAGUUCCAACUCAUUAUUGAUGGAAUUGAAUAUGCAAAUCAUAUUCUAGUGGAAUGUCCUUAUGCGAAGUCAGCCACGAAGCCAUACUUAACUGGGGCGGAAUCGAUUAAAUCAAUUUCCAUAAUGUAGAAGAUAUUACUUGUUUUGCAGCCAAUUGGGAGAGAUGCCCUGAGAAGAAAAGAACGCCUAACAACCAUAUGCUAGGGGAUACUUUGGUGUAUAUGGAGAGCUAGAGAUGAUAGGAUAUUCCAAUCAAAAUUUAUUACUCCAAAAUGUGUGGUGGAUGGCAUCAAAGCUUUAGUGCAAUUGUGGGUAUAAUGCAGAGGCAAAUGUGGUAUAUCUAACUGGGAAGAGUUGUUCUUUUAUCCUUUUUCGUCUUAGUCUUAAAUUUUCUUUGUAAUAUGUAAUAUUUUAACCGGAUGCUCUUUUUCCCCUAUAGUUUCUUACUAUUUGGGUGAAUUUUUAUAAUAUUGGUCGUUUCUAAAAAAUACUAUUAGCGACACAUUAGAAGUAUAUAUAUUAUACUUGUAAUCAAUGACAUCCUUCACUAACCAUUGCCAUCAUCCAUUCUCCCUGCCCGUAAAACUCAAUGAACUACUUCUGCUUAUACACAACAUCGUCGAUGAUCUCCCUCUCCAUACCCCAAACACAAUAAUAAAAUUGAUGUUCCCCAUCUUUUGCACACGAUACUCACAACCCCUUAUUUUCUACCUAACCUUACAAAAAAAAACUUUCAUUUUCAUGUCAAAAUAAAGUCAUCCAAUCACCAAUAUGACAACAAAUUAAAAUUUAUUGCCUAAUAAAUUUAUUUUAGGGAAAAUGACUUAAAAUUCUAACGAAAUUUUCAAACCUUUCAAAAAACCUCAAUUAUGUUUUGUUUGUCCAUAAAAAUCCAACAAACUUAACAUUUUAUCUAAAAAGUCCAACAAAGUUCCAAACCGUUCAAAAAAUCCAAAUUUUGUUUUGUUUAAGUUCAUUGGGUUUUUUUUGAACAGUCAAAACAUGAUUGAAAUUUUUUAAACGGUUUAAAAACUUCCUUGGAUCCGUAAGUUAUUUUUCCAUUUAUUUGAAGAGAAAUGUUGCUUACUCAAACCAAAAAUUAAUUAUUAUUAUGACAUUCCACAUGAAAACGGAGAAGACGGUAGGAAGGGACGGCGUCUGAUUCACCUGUCACAAAAACCGGACGGUUUCAACUAGUGAAGGCUCUCUCUCUCCAGUCUCCCCCUACCCCCACCAGCGCCAAACCCACAUACGCCACCUUCUCUUUCUUUAAAACUCUCUCCUCCGUUAACGCUUCUUCCUCAUCUAUCUCUUCAUCUCUUUUUCUUUUUCUCUCUACCAUAAAUCAAUCUUGCUGUUCUCCAAUCAGAUGCGUUGUCUUCACAGGUACCGUUCGAUCCUAUCCCUAAUCUCUUCUCAGUAUCUUGACUUUUCUAGGGUUAGGAUUUCUUCCAUCGUACCCUUAUAAAAUCAAAUCAACUACACAUAUCUGACAAUCUAACACGAUUAUUUCGUAAAUCGGUUGAGAAUAAAAUGCAUCCGAGGUGGUUUAAUUGCUUUCGAUGCGCUAUUAUUCAUAUUGGUUACGAUGUGGACUGAUUUGGGUGGAUUUAGGAUACUUUUUAUUGAUUUCAUUAGGGUUUUCGAGUAGGAUUGCAUGAGGUUUUUUGCUCAUGCCGUUAAGUGUUGAUUCUGGUGAUAUGAUAAUGCCGGCAAAAGAGAAAAUGAAUGGUGUUGGUGUUUUAACAACCUUAUCCAUGGACUGCAAUCAUUUCUUGUCCAUGGAUUCAAGUUUGUUCGAUCCGGCUGCGGUAGAUCUGAGUCUACCGCCCGAUAUCAAUCUCCCACUCUCGGCGGAGCCAAGCCCUCCGCCACCUGGGUCGAUUGAUUCAUGUGACAUGCUAGAACCCGGUUUAGGUUCUCAACAUUACCAAAGUGAAACACAUAUAAAUGUCACAAAAUCUGGGAAGAAGACCGCUAAGCGACUAGAUAGCAUGUGGGGGGCUUGGUUUUUCUUUAAUUUCUACUUCAAACCGGUUUUAAACGAGAAGUCAAAGAACAAGAACAUGGAUAAUAACGGACACGAUAUUGAUAAAUCACAGCUGAAGUUAGAUGUUUUCUUGGUUCAACAUGACAUGGAGAAUAUGUAUAUGUGGGCUUUUAAAGAAAGGCCCGAGAACGCAUUGGGGAAAAUGCAACUGAGAAGCUAUAUGAAUGGGCAUUCACGACAAGGGGAAAAGCCCUUUCCGUUUUGUGCUGAUAAGGGUUUCGUUAGAUCUCAUCGAAUGCAAAGGAAACAAUAUAGGGGACUCUCGAAUCCUCAAUGUGUUCAUGGGAUUGAAGUUGUUAGAUCACCUAAUUUGAUGGUAUUGGAAGAGGAAGAAAGAAGAAGAUGGAUGGAACUUACGGGAAGAGAUUUAAACUUUUCAAUUACUCUUGAAGCAUGUGAUUUCAGUUCUUGGAGGAACCUUCCAAGUACCGAUUUCGAAAUUGAACGCCCUCUCAUUCCAAAAGAUACAGCUAAUCAUCAUCAUCAACAACAAGAACCAAAGCGAUUGCUUUCUGGUACUGGUACUGGUACUGGUACUGGUACUGGUGAUACUAUUACUAGUGUGCCAGAUCUUUUGGCGGGUUGUAAUGGUAAACGUCGGAAGAGCAACUCGCCACGUGGCAAUCAUGAUGAAGAAAGUUCGGAUUCGGUUCUUGAUGUUCAUCAAGUGGAUCCGCAUUGGGCGAGUGAAAUUUCUGGGGUGUUAAGAAGUGCUUAUGGGCCUGUAACGGCUGCGAAGACUAUUUAUGAAGAUGAAGAGGGAUUCUUGAUUAUUGUAAGUUUGCCAUGUGUAGAUCUUCAAAGGGUAAAAGUUACAUGGAGGAAUACAAUUUCACAAGGUGUUGUGAAGAUUUGUUGUGUGAGCACCGGGUGUACACCGGUGUUGAAAAGAGAAAACAGGACAUUUAAGUUGAGUGAUCCGGCACCUGAGCACUGCCCUCCUGGGGAAUUUGUGAGGGAGAUUCUGCUUCCGACUCUGAUUCCUGAAGAUGCAAAGUUGGAAGCUUACAGGGACGAAACAGGAACUAUGCUUGAGAUAAUGGUGCCUAAGCAUCGUGUAGGACCUGAAGAACAUGAGGUUCAUGUCUGUCUUCGUUCAUCUCCAAGUGUUCUUAUGUUAACUUAGUGAAAACUGGAGUCCAUGUUUGAUGCUUCAUUGAUUUCGCUAAUCUUUAUUUAACUCAUGG